UAGGUGGUUUUGAUGCCUACCCAUUUAGCAAUUGUGAUAGAGUAUGCUGCUGGUGGUGAGCUCUUUGAUCGAAUUUGCAGUGCUGGUAGAUUCAAUGAAGAUGAGGCUAGAUAGUUUUUUUCAACAGUUGAUCUCUAGUGUUAAUUACUGUCACUCCAUGGUGUUAAGAUGAAGGCAGCUGAGGAAGCCUUGGAAGCAAAACAAAAAGUAACAAAUAGCUUGUCUGCUACCUGUUCUUUUUUUUAUUAUCAUGUUUUAUAAUUUUGUGACAAAUUGUUCUUGGUACUCUGAAGAUAUUUAUGCAAAAUUACCCUAUGAUUCUAUUGUAUUUAUACUGCAUGGCUGCACCAUGUAUUUCUUAA
Long non-coding RNA from Gossypium raimondii (Peruvian cotton), 362 nucleotides. RefSeq lists it as uncharacterized. The record is from RefSeq and is a predicted model, not a curated record. The transcript is spliced from 2 exons. NCBI's taxonomy places the organism in Eukaryota, Viridiplantae, Streptophyta, Magnoliopsida, Malvales, Malvaceae.